RNAcentral lists this ribosomal RNA (253 nucleotides) under uncultured bacterium. RNAcentral's name for it is "partial 16S ribosomal RNA". It matches the Rfam family "Bacterial small subunit ribosomal RNA", at positions 524 to 776 of the family's 1533-position model. The record is from RNAcentral.
UACGUAGGGACCGAGCGUUGUCCGGAUUAAUUGGGCGUAAAGAGCUCGUAGGCGGCUGUUCAAGUCGAACGUGAAAACUCGGAGCUCAACUCCGAGCCUGCGUUCGAUACUGGACGGCUAGAGUCUGGUAGGGGGAUCUGGAAUUCCUGGUGUAGCGGUGGAAUGCGCAGAUAUCGUAAGGAAGACCAGUGGCGAAGGCGGGUCUCUGGACAGUUCCUGACGCUGAGGCACGAAGGUCAGGGGAGCAAACGGG